GCCACCCUAGCUCAAUCGGCAGAGCGGCUGAUUUGUAAUCAGCAGGUUGGGGGUUCAAGUCCCCCGGGUGGCU
Molecule: transfer RNA, 73 nt
Filed under: Thermotogota bacterium
Lineage: Bacteria; Thermotogati; Thermotogota
Description: Thermotogae bacterium (hydrothermal vent metagenome) tRNA-Thr
Rfam family: tRNA
About the family: Transfer RNA (tRNA) molecules are approximately 80 nucleotides in length. Their secondary structure includes four short double-helical elements and three loops (D, anti-codon, and T loops).
Source: RNAcentral